This is an RNA transcript of Dendronephthya gigantea, 1776 nucleotides long. RefSeq lists it as uncharacterized. The transcript is spliced from 2 exons. NCBI's taxonomy places the organism in Eukaryota, Metazoa, Cnidaria, Anthozoa, Malacalcyonacea, Nephtheidae. The record is from RefSeq and is a predicted model, not a curated record.
AAGCUCCCUUGCAAUAUGCAGCCUCAAAAUUAUUUACUAAUCAACAUGUAAAUUCAAUUAAACGGCAGAGUGAGGCUCUGGAACCGAUGGAGCAGUCUAUAGAUGAUCUGAAGCGAAUGCAGCAAGCAAACAAAGCGGAAAUUAUUAAGUCAAGAAUGGAUAACAUUGAUGCAACACUUUCUCCAGACCUACUGUUCUUGGUAAAGCAAUCCCGAGACAAAGGAGCGAGUUCCUGGCUAAAUGCGAUUCCACUCAAAGAUCAAGGUCUAGCCCUCAAUAAGCAAGAAUUCAGAGACUCGUUACGAAUGAGAUACAAUUUAACUUUGAACGAUUUACCAAGUCAUUGUGCGUGUGGAGAUCGCUUUAACAUCAAUCAUGCCCUCUCUUGUAAAAAAGGUGGGUUCGUUGCACAAAGGCACGAUGGAAUCCGUAAUUUGCUAACAGCGCAACUGGAUAAAGUGUGUAAGAAUGUGGAAAUUGAGCCUCAUCUUCAACCCCUUGAUAAUGAGAGAUUUGACUUGAGAUCGGCUAAUAUAAGACCCGAAGCGAGAUUGGACAUGAAGGCGAACGGUUUCUGGCUACGUGGAGCUACUGCAUUUUUUGACGUAAGAGUAACGCAUGUAAACUCCCGAUGUAACCAAGGCCGGCCAACCCAGAACACUUUUAAGGAACACGAGAACGAAAAGAAGAGAAAAUACCAACAGAGAGUUUUAGAUGUUGAAAUGGGCUCCUUUACCCCACUUGUUCUUGGAACCAAUGGUGUAAUGGGGUCUGAAUGCCACAAGUUUCUUACUCAGCUGGCGCAGAAAUUAGCAGCAAGAGACCAUGAACGUUAUGCAGUUUUCAUAGCUUGGUUGAGAACCAGAAUCUCUUUCGAAAUUCUAAGAUCGGUACAUGCGAGUGUAAGGGGAUCUAGAUCACCUUUCUAUAGAAAAGAACUUGAAGUGGUAGACGAUUUUGGACUAAAUGUUAAGAUUGCAGAGGUUUUUUAAAGUUUCUUAGACUUUAACUUUACGUGCGAAGUACUCCUUUUCUAUAAAAAUUAGGAAGAACAACAAUCAUUAUGACAUUCGAAGAGUUUAAACAGCCCAUUGGAAAAUGCAUGGUGAUUAGAAUAGUUAAUUUUGAUCUAGUUUUAUUUAGAAUUCUUUUAAAUAAGUAUAUAGUUAAUUUGAAUAAAUAGAAUUAUGUGACUGUCUUCUCUCGGUGCUGCCUAUGGCGGUAUCGUUGGAGAUCCUUCGGGAUCUUUCUAAAAACUCUCCUCUCUGCUACCUCAAAUGGGGGCGCAGUGGGGGUUUGUUUUUCUCCCCCAAAGUGCCCCCGGGUUGUGGUAGCAACCUCUUUUGUCUUCCUUUUUAAUUUAUGAUCAGUCUAAUCAAUAUAUGCAAAUGAAUCUUAUUAUAAACAUGAGAGCCCAACAUAUAACAUUUAAGAAAGCCAUCAAAACAAUUGAAGUUUAAAAGUAAUGAUGACUUUCUUUAAGGUUAUAUGUUGGGCUCUCAUAUUUAUAAUAAGAAUCCGUUUUCCGCCUGGCAAAUCUCUAGCUACGAUAUAUGCAAAUGAAGUUUACGUAAUCGUAUCUAUGAUGUAAUAAUUUAUGCUGAACCUAACACAUGCGCAGUUCACGACGAGCUUCUCUCUCGAUCUAUUCAAUAUGGUGGUCAAUCAAGAAAUGUUUUUGCUUGCAAAAAGAUCGUAAAUUGUUGGCGCUACAAGCUCGGAAAGAAGGAAGCAUCCAAACAAAUUCAUUUGUAACAUGGUGGAUAACAAAGUCCC